GACGAACGCUGGCGGCGUGCCUAAUACAUGCAAGUUGAGCGCUGAAGGUUGGUACUUGUACCAACUGGAUGAGCAGCGAACGGGUGAGUAACGCGUGGGGAAUCUGCCUUUGAGCGGGGGACAACAUUUGGAAACGAAUGCUAAUACCGCAUAAAAACUUUAAACACAAGUUUUAAGUUUGAAAGAUGCAAUUGCAUCACUCAAGGAUGAUCCCGCGUUGUAUUAGCUAGUUGGUGAGGUAAAGGCUCACCAAGGCGAUGAGACAUAGCCGACCGUAGCGGGGGAUAGGCGACAUUGGGAGUGAGACACGGCCCAAAGGCCUGCGGGAGGCAGCAGUAGGGAAUCUUAGGCAAUGGACGAAAGGAUGACAGAGCAACGCCGAGUGAGUGAAGAAGGGUGUCGGAUCGUAAAACUCGGUUGGUAGAGAAGAACGUUGGUGAGAGUGGAAAGCUCAUCAAGUGACGGUAACUACCCAGAAAGGGACGGCUAACUACGUG
Molecule: ribosomal RNA, 497 nt
Filed under: uncultured bacterium
Lineage: Bacteria
Description: partial 16S ribosomal RNA
Rfam family: Bacterial small subunit ribosomal RNA
Source: RNAcentral